GCAGGGCAGGGCAGAAGUGCAGGCACAUCCCACCACUGGACCUAGUGGUGGGCAGUGACUGGGCAAACUUCCUAUCUUUACUAUAAGGCUAUCUGCUCAAAAUUUUUUGAGAAUUCGUAAUCACUUAGAGACUACAAAAUUCAUGUAGAAGGGUUUGAGAAAAGAGGAAGGAAGGAAAAGAAGAGAAGAAGGUAAUGAACAAGGAAUAAAUGGCACAGAAGAUGAAGGAACACCAAGUGAAAACUCAGAAACUCCAGUGAAUAGGACUUGGACUUUGGAAAUCUCACAACAAAACUCAAAAUAUUAGGACAGGUUGAAGAAAAUUGGGAAAAGUACUUAAAAAGCAAAAUAGGUCAUGUGGCAACAGAGGCACAUGAAAUAAAACAAUAAGACAAUGUUUUAAAAUCCA
Molecule: long non-coding RNA, 409 nt
Filed under: Monodelphis domestica (gray short-tailed opossum)
Lineage: Eukaryota; Metazoa; Chordata; Mammalia; Didelphimorphia; Didelphidae
Description: lncRNA (ENSMODG00000042350.1)
Source: RNAcentral